GGCCAGCAGCCGCGGUAAUACGUAGGGUGCGAGCGUUGUCCGGAAUUAUUGGGCGUAAAGGGCUCGUAGGCGGUUUGUCGCGUCGGGAGUGAAAACCAUGGGCUUAACUCAUGGCUUGCUUCCGAUACGGGCAGACUAGAGGCAUGCAGGGGAGAACGGAAUUCCUGGUGUAGCGGUGAAAUGCGCAGAUAUCAGGAGGAACACCGGUGGCGAAGGCGGUUCUCUGGGCAUGUCCUGACGCUGAGGAGCGAAAGUGUGGGGAGCGAACAGGAUUAGAUACCCUGGUAGUCCACACCGUAAACGUUGGGCGCUAGGUGUGGGAUCCAUUCCACGGGUUCCGUGCCGCAGCUAACGCAUUAAGCGCCCCGCCUGGGGAGUACGGCCGCAAGGCUAAAACUUAAAGGAAUUGGCGGGGGAU
This 418-nucleotide ribosomal RNA is filed under the name uncultured bacterium. RNAcentral's name for it is "bacterial SSU rRNA". It matches the Rfam family "Bacterial small subunit ribosomal RNA", at positions 506 to 921 of the family's 1533-position model. The record is from RNAcentral.